This 253-nucleotide ribosomal RNA is filed under the name uncultured bacterium. Its description in RNAcentral is "partial 16S ribosomal RNA". It matches the Rfam family "Bacterial small subunit ribosomal RNA", at positions 524 to 776 of the family's 1533-position model. The record is from RNAcentral.
UACAGAGGGUGCAAGCGUUAAUCGGAAUUACUGGGCGUAAAGCGUGCGUAGACGGUUACAUAAGUCGGGUGUGAAAGCCCCGGGCUCAACCUGGGAAUUGCAUUCGAGACUGCGUAGCUAGGGUGCGGAAGAGGGAAGCGGAAUUUCCGGUGUAGCGGUGAAAUGCGUAGAUAUCUGGAGGAACACCGGUGGCGAAGGCGGCGUCCUGGACCAACACUGACACUGAUGAGCGAAAGCCAGGGGAGCAAACGGG